This is a long non-coding RNA of Sciurus carolinensis (gray squirrel), 370 nucleotides long. RefSeq lists it as uncharacterized. The record is from RefSeq and is a predicted model, not a curated record. NCBI's taxonomy places the organism in Eukaryota, Metazoa, Chordata, Mammalia, Rodentia, Sciuridae. The transcript has 2 exons.
CUGCAAAGGGACUUAAGUAUCAGGAUAGCAAAAUCAUAUGCCCAAAGUUUGACAGCAGGAGAAGGACUUUGGCAGUUUAUUUACCUGGUCCCCAUCUGACUCUGGAACAUCUCGACUUGACUGCAGAAAAACUGCUGAAACGCUGUCAGACAUUCAGUUGACUUAACUGGACUUCUUUCUGUAGGACCAACAGAAAACUGACUGAGGAUUACAGUCUCAAGUAUAAUGGAAACUUCAAGGGUACUUCUCUGCAGACACUUUCUUGUCCUGUACCUCCUCCAGAUGGUUACACCAAGUUCAGGUAUGAUCUUUCACUCAACUUUAUGAGGAUUAGCAGAUGAAGUUUUCCAGGAAAAACAAGGAACACACU